CCGUUCAACCGGCGGGGAUCGUGGUUUCAGUGCCACGUCCAAGCGGAGCUGAAGCUGAAGCCCGAGCUGAAGGAGUGGUUUCGGUGCCACGUCGGGCGCAACACGGCCUGCGUGUUGGGAAACAAGCAGUUCCACAUCUGCUCGUGCGUCGACGCACGACAUCAUCGUGCACACGGUGUUUGCAGAACACGAUCUCUCCUUUUGUUGUCCAGCAAGGUUAUUCCAGUGUCAAUCGUCGAUUAAACAUGCAUCCCGGGCGUCUUUAUGUUCGACAUGGCUCAGAAGGGCAGCAGGAGCAAAUAGCCAGACCGCUAAUAGGCCAGAAGGGUCUUGUAGCAGCGUAUUAACCAGGACUUCAUCAGGGCCAAAGAAGAUAAAUUUUUAUUCACCUAUCAUCAAAAGACCUGGGUACCCCAAGAGCCUGCAUUAUUUUUUUUAUUUGUUCCUUGUGAAAUUACCCGGCGCCCUCCAGUGCCUGCAUUGACUGUGUAUAAGGACCCAUGCUAUGAAUCCGUGGCUUUGUUUCAAUAAAACAUGGCAUCAACAAUUUUUCCCACAUUAUCAAGCUAGUGUUGGAACUAGGUCGUGCCUUUUUUUCACAUUUGCUAUUUUCAGUGUUAUAUUACUUAGCAAUCCUCAAUUUAAUGGUUCAUCAACUGCUG
This is a long non-coding RNA of Rhipicephalus microplus (southern cattle tick), 662 nucleotides long. NCBI's taxonomy places the organism in Eukaryota, Metazoa, Arthropoda, Arachnida, Ixodida, Ixodidae. The record is from RefSeq and is a predicted model, not a curated record.